GGAUGUGAGGGUGAUCUGGCUGCGACAUCCGUCACUCCAUGCAUCACCGGGGUUGAUGCGGCUGAUCUGGCUGGCUAGGCGGGUGUCCCCUUCCUCCCUCACCACUCCACGUGCAUCCCUCCCAACACUGCGUGCUCGGUCCAAGAAGAUGACCUUCCCCACUAGAGGAGGACCGGUCUUCAGUCAGGGGUAUGCGAGUAGCUGCCCUCCCCUGCUAGAACCUCCAACAAGCUCUCGGAGCUGGCAGAGCCACAUGGCCCAGGCAUCUCCUCUUUGGGCCCCAGUUCCCGGGUUCCCCCAUGGA
This 304-nucleotide small nuclear RNA is filed under the name Oryctolagus cuniculus (rabbit). Its description in RNAcentral is "7SK RNA". It matches the Rfam family "7SK RNA". From Rfam's summary of the family: 7SK was discovered as an abundant small nuclear RNA in the mid-70s but a possible function has only recently been suggested. The record is from Rfam by way of RNAcentral. Lineage: Eukaryota; Metazoa; Chordata; Mammalia; Lagomorpha; Leporidae.